GAUGAACGCUGGCGGCGUGCCUAAUACAUGCAAGUCGAGCGAACGGACGAGAAGCUUGCUUCUCUGAUGUUAGCGGCGGACGGGUGAGUAACACGUGGAUAACCUACCUAUAAGACUGGGAUAACUUCGGGAAACCGGAGCUAAUACCGGAUAAUAUUUUGAACCGCAUGGUUCAAAAGUGAAAGACGGUCUUGCUGUCACUUAUAGAUGGAUCCGCGCUGCAUUAGCUAGUUGGUAAGGUAACGGCUUACCAAGGCAACGAUGCAUAGCCGACCUGAGAGGGUGAUCGGACACACUGGAACUGAGACACGGUACAGACUCCUAGGGGAGGACGCAGUAGGGAAUCUUCCGCAAUGGGCGAAAGCCUGACGGAGCAACGCCGCGGGAGUGAUGAAGGUCUUCGGAUCGUAAAACUCUGUUAUUAGGGAAGAACAUAUGUGUAAGUAACUGUGCACAUCUUGACGGUACCUAAUCAGAAAGCCACGGCUAACUACGUG
Molecule: ribosomal RNA, 497 nt
Filed under: uncultured bacterium
Lineage: Bacteria
Description: partial 16S ribosomal RNA
Rfam family: Bacterial small subunit ribosomal RNA
Source: RNAcentral